UCCCGUGGGCCUCCGCGAGAGGGUAUUUAAGUGCCUCCCUGCGGCUUGUAGGUCUCGUUUCUUCUUUGCUGCUCUGGGGCGCAGGCGCGCGUCUGGACGCUCGGGGGCCCGGGACAUGCCUGCCGUUAGGGUAUGGCUCCGUCCCAGGGAGCGUACAGGUUGGAGGAUGGGACAGGAUCUGUUCUCGUGCGGACCGGUCCAUGCAGCAAUGCUCCGCUCAUCCGUCCUGAGGGACUCCACCGCCUCCCGGGGUGACUACAGGUAAUUGUUGAAAUGCGGGAUUGAGGUGUUCUCUCUCCAGCCCUCCCCACAGCCAGGAGAGCAAAUGGUCCUUCCGGCUUGCUCCUCUUGGAAUGGUGUGCUGGGGCGGGAGAGAACAGCCCAGUAGUACAUCUGGUUCUUGAGGGUGUGGUUUCCCCCCCUCACCCACAUGUCACUGUCAGAUGAUUUGAAUUGUUCCUCUGAUGCUCUGUGAGGUGUGACAGGUAAUAGCAUGUUAGAGUUCUGAUGGCAGUUUCUGUUCAAUAAUGAAAUGCUACUCAGUUCCAAUAUUUCUAGAUAAUAAUCUGCUCUUCAUUUACAGGUUGUCCUGAUAAUGACCUAUUCAUCUGUCUAAACGGUCACCAUUGACCUGCCCAGGGUUGAACUCGUGGAAAGAGUGGAAGUGGUGAGUGUGUGUAAUUUUUAUAACGUGCUCCAUAGUCCAGUGCCAGUGAGGAGAGCAAACAUCCUGUCUUAACCCCAGUACCAGCCCCAGAGCCAGCAAUGGUGAACCCACUGGGGCUAACUGGGAGAGAGGAUGAGAACUUGUUCCGUAGGAACUGUCUGAGGUACAAGCAGACAGCAUUUGCUUAGUUAUUCCUGAUCUGCCCACUAACCAUAACUAGAACCACUUUGGCUGUUUCAGGGGAUCUCCUUUAGGAGCAGCUGGGUCCUGUGUGCUACGGGAACCUCCAGAGCUAACAGGUUAGUUCAUUGUCAGGCUCAUGUCACCAAGUAGUCAGUUUCUGUGAUGAAGCAAACUAGCUCACUAUGACUCAGAAUGAACACAUGUGAACACCUGAGAAACUGGGGAACGUGGUGGCGGCGGCGGGAUACCCAGCUGGAAUUUUUAUCGACCACAGCCUUGUCUUCCAGGUCCUGUUAGUCCUACCUGCUUGGUGGUCCACUCCAAGGUGAGUGAUUUCCACGUGUGUUGGCGCAUGCACAUGCCAGGUAGAAAGUGGCCUUCAGGCCUACAUAUAUGAUGACUGACAUGGAAUCUCGUUCGGCUGAUGACUUGCUGUUGAGACUCGGAAAUCUGAUUUUCUAGGAACUGGCUGAGGCGGGACCAGCUUUUAGUGCAGGAAGUGCAUGCUGACUGUCUUGUUUCUUUCAGGUCCAGCACCUUUGUGGGACCCAAGAAUGAGGUGAGGGGAAGUGGAGGCUGUUUCUGCUCAACUUCAGCCCGAAGUUAGAGGUGAGUAAUGCAGAGGGGAUGUGCAGGCUGGCCGCCAUUUCCCAGUGAGGAAACAUUCACACGUCUUACCCCCUGUCCCUGUCCCAGAGCCUGUGAAGGUGAACCCACUGGGACAAGCUGGGGGAGAAGAGAAAAGUGUGUUCCAGAAGGAACUGUCUGAGGGAUCACAAGGAUUUCUAACCGUGGGAAAGAGGGAAGUAAAUUACUUGUUGAGAAAAUUAUGGUUUGGUUUUGUUUUUUUCAGGUCUAAAGAAAGAACGAAGCAUGUACAAUGGCAAGUAUCUGCCCACUUUCUAGUGUGUAACCAAAGUUACUGACAUACAGAAGCCUAGAGGUGUGAUUGGGUUGGCCCUUCAUAAGCUCACAGUGCAUAUUUCCCAUCCAAUAAAAUAACUCACCUUUUUUUCCCUACAGGAAACCAACUCUGAAGACAAAAGAAUUUUCAAGCAAUUGCCUGUAAACCUGGCUGUUUAAAUUUUCAAAUUUCCGUCUUUAAAAAUAAAAGUUCUUUUUUUUAUCCUUCA
Pipistrellus kuhlii (Kuhl's pipistrelle) is the source of this 1983-nucleotide long non-coding RNA. RefSeq lists it as uncharacterized. The transcript is spliced from 6 exons. Lineage: Eukaryota; Metazoa; Chordata; Mammalia; Chiroptera; Vespertilionidae. The record is from RefSeq and is a predicted model, not a curated record.